CCAUCAAAUUUUAUGUAUAUAUUUUCCAUCUCAGACUACUCAUUGCACUACAACUCAGUCAAUAGUGUUUGAGAAUAACAUGGUUUCCAAACAUUUUUAUUAGAUUACAGACGAUCAAAUGGUUGCAGAAUCCAAACAAGUCCAGAUUAGAUUUGCAUUCAACCCCUCUCAUCAUCCUCUGCAUUUAUUACAACAGCCUCUCCCACAACAUAUGGAGAGAACAGGCGAGUUAACCACUCGACUAAACAACCCAAAAGGCAAACCAAACCAAACCAAACCAAACCAGAGUAGUCCAUUCACUUUGACAAGUUAAAAAGGUUUAGAGCUUGGAAGAAGCUGGUUUAUCAAGAAACCAAACAAGCUCCUCUUCAGCAGACACAGAACCCGCAGGUAUGUUCAUUAUUCUUUCUGUUUUAUUUUAAUUGUCGUUGAAUAAUUUUAAUUUCUUUUAUGAUAAGUCUCGUGUUAUAUUUUCAAUGUGUAUGUUUUCUAGUUUUCCACUUUUAUCUCUAUUUUUAGUUUAUUAACUAAUUAAUAAAGUCAAAUAAAACACUUUAUUAAUUAGGAAUAUAGAAAAUUUAAAGAUUUUCUUAAUUUACGUGAAUAAACCUUAAACAAUACCCCUUCCAUUUUGUUUUGUAAAUUGUCUUAGAAAUUUUGUUUUGGGUCAAAAUAAUUCUAAACAACUUAUGAUAACUAUUGGUUUUAUCUACCCUCAAAUUUAAAGCAUUUUCUAGAGUUAAUAGUUUUAAGGAGGAUAUUAAAUUAACGAAGAAUAAUAAUAAUAUAUACAUUAUCUUAACUGUUUUAAAUUGUGUGAAAUCCACUAAAACGACUUGCAAAACAAGAUAGAGGGAAUAGAUAAAAUGAAAUGAAAAGAGUAAUAAAUUUUUGGCCGACAAAAAAAUUAUGAUAAAUAAAUAUAUAAUUCAAUAUUUAAAUGGUUUUUAGUUUAUGUUAAAAAAAAACUAUUUUUAUCCUUCUUUUCUAUUUUCAUCACCAUUUCUUUUGUUUUUACUAACAGAUCUCGGCUUUACACAAACUACCAUCAAAUUUUAUGUAUAUAUUUUCCAUCUCAGACUACUCAUUGCACUACAACUCAGUCAAUAGUGUUUGAGAAUAACAUGGUUUCCAAACAUUUUUAUUAGAUUACAGACGAUCAAAUGGUUGCAGAAUCCAAACAAGUCCAGAUUAGAUUUGCAUUCAACCCCUCUCAUCAUCCUCUGCAUUUAUUACAACAGCCUCUCCCACAACAUAUGGAGAGAACAGGCGAGUUAACCACUCGACUAAACAACCCAAAAGGCAAACCAAACCAAACCAAACCAAACCAGAGUAGUCCAUUCACUUUGACAAGUUAAAAAGGUUUAGAGCUUGGAAGAAGCUGGUUUAUCAAGAAACCAAACAAGCUCCUCUUCAGCAGACACAGAACCCGCAGGUACACUCCCAGUCUUGUUCAGAGCCAUCUGCACAGGCUCGGCUUUCCCAGAACCGCAGACCACUAGAGCCACAUGCGCAGAGGAGUUGAUAACCGGGAACGUGAAUGUGAUUCUCUCAGAUGGAGGCUUUGGAGAGUCGGUGA
Molecule: long non-coding RNA, 1579 nt
Filed under: Brassica napus (rape)
Lineage: Eukaryota; Viridiplantae; Streptophyta; Magnoliopsida; Brassicales; Brassicaceae
Description: long non-coding RNA (BNAP_LNC005370)
Source: RNAcentral